CACCGGAGGAUAAGUCAACGGAGGAGAGCUUGGGUCGUGAGCGUUUCGUAUUGAAUCAGUUGUGUUGAAUAUUAUUUUUCUCAAUAUUUGUCCGUGGAAGAAUAAUUUAGCACUGACAGUUUUGCUGUUAGUUAUUUAUUUUUAAUGAGAUUUCGGUUCACAGUAAUUACGGCUCAUUCUUCGCCACUAACAAACUGGAGAGAUGAUGAUGAUAUACAGUUUUUUUCGGAAUCCACACUGAAAACUGAAUGACUGGUGCCCACAGAAGGAGGACCUCAUGUAUGGACAAAGGAGACUGCACGGACAUCCUUAGUUCUCAAAUGGGCUGUGAUGAUGAUGAUGCCAGAAAACCACUUCCAGUUCAGCUUCCUCUGAUGAAAAGACAGAUCAGCUGUUUAGACAUUUGUUAUGUGCCGGUCAGAACUUGCCUGCUUUAGUUCCUGGCUGCUCCAAAGCCUCAAAUGAUGUCACCUACUCUCUGUGAUGUCAGUUAAAAGCAACACUACGUUGUUUAUAGACAAAACAUAUUAAUGUGACGGGUGGUAAAUCAAAAUGAGGGACACACACAAAUCAUUACAUUUUUUACAAAAAAGUAUGUUUUUAUUAAAAAAAUAUCUUAUGUAAAUAGGGACACACAUAUAAUCCUGACAAUAAUAAAGGUUUGAUAAAGCAACAUUUAAUGGUGAUAUUUUUCGAUACAGAUGAAGGAAAAAUGGCUAAAAAAUACUAUGUUAGUCUUUAUAAAUUGUAUUUUCUCAUUUAAUAUCAUGGUAAGAGUACUUGGUUUUAAUUGGAAACCUACUUUUACACAUUUUUGCGCCUUAUGCAUCUCAUCAAAUGUUGCGGACCCAAAUGGCUCCCGUUUCAUAAAAUGACUCAUCUAUCUUCUGUAUGGGGAUAUAGAGGUACAGCUUUAUUGCAGAUCAACUUCUGUUAGGGCAUGUACAUGUGUGUAUACAUGUCUUGCUGUGGUUGUGGGGACAAAUUUGUGUUUGAAACCAUCAGCGUGAGGUUAUUUUGGCCAGUCGUGACAGCUUCAAAAGGCGGGAGGGACACCUGCAGUGACUGAGAUCAGUGUCAGGAUGAGACUCAAUGUAAUGUCCUUUGUAAAGAUUGAUACUUGAGGAGUGAAAUACACGCACCAAGCAGCAGGCACGUUCAAAAGUUCUCCAGGAAUUUUCUAGUACUUUUAAUAUUAUCCUCUACCGGCGCAAUCUUCCGUAAUUGUGUCAUCAGUUCUGCUCUUGUUAAACUUUCUGCAUGAUAUAAAAAUAUGUUCAACUGAGCUUCAGUGCAGUCACCUGGAUUUUAAAGUGUGUUUUGUCUGUAUGGUAAUAAGGCUGCACUGCCUCUGUGACGGGAUUGGUCGGAGCAGAGAGGAGGAGCCUCCGACUCCACGGCCAUCUUCUCCUAUUGGUGCGGCAAUGACUCUGACAGCCCUCACCACAGCUGCAGCCGUUUAAGCAUCAGAGGAAGAGAGUUUAAGAGCCCGGCCCGCACAUCAUUAGUGGCGGCUGACAUGAUAUGCAGCUCGCCUCUGUACUGCCUUUGUGAACAUUUGUGUGUAAUUUGUGAUUUGGUUUGGGAUGCUGGUAGUGAUUGUUGGGGGCUGGGUUAGGGUUUAAAAUUCUGCUUGUGCAUCACACCCUUAGAAAAAGGCUUUUAGGCACAUUAGGAACAGGGGGGCUGCUUUCUUGUGUUUUUGGGUUGGUUAGAAUCACAUAGUUAGGCUCUUUGUUGGCUCCUGUUCCCCUACUUCAGUUAUCCUCUUGCCUUGUUUGUAUAUCUGUUUACUUAUUUACCCUCCUGUUAACGCAAUAAAUUAAAUCAGUAAACCUGAUUUACCAAUAACACCUGGUUUUAUGUUGCUUCCCUUUUCCCCUAGCUGGGUCGUAACACAAAGCCUUCCAACAUAUGGUGACUGGGAAGAUGGAUGCCAGAAGCCAACGUGGUGGUAGUGAACUGAAACCUGACUCUAUGAGCAGUCCGCGGUCAGACCAGAAGUCCAGUCUAAUCACCAAUGAUGGACCAGCACCUGCCUUUUCUUCUGCAUCUGGCCUCAUCAAUCAACACCAUUACAUCAACACCUUGAGGUGCUGACCAGACUCUCCCUUCAGCAAAAGGGUCUGUCCUUACAGACACAUACAGGUGGGAUAAGGACAGCCCUUUAACUUCAAUGCCUAACCCUUCCUAAACUCGUCUGUUUAGGAAGUAACGCGUUUAGGAAGUAACGCGUCUCAUUCUGGGUGGACUUCUGGAAUAUGCAGCCUUUUAACUCUCAAAGGACAUUUUCUAUUCAACCACUGAAAUCACAUGAGGUCUCCAUUGUGCAUGUUUACAGCAGUAACCUUGUAUAACUACAGGGAAUAAUCUGUUGGCAUAAGAGUGUAGUUUCAAAGUAUGCUCUUUGGUAAGUGCAAUAACAUAAGAUAGCCAGUAGAUGGAGCUCAGCGUAUUAGGCAACAAAAGGAUUAUUUCAGUAUCUAAAUCCUACUUACUUAUGCCAGGCCACAGCAUACGUCUUAUCACCUUUACUACCACAUUCAAUAAGUAUUAAUCUGUGAUUUAAAAAAAUACAGUGAUUCAAUAAAUAUUUUUAAAGUAUACAUGCAUCCCUCAAACCCUAAAGGUUGUUUUACAUCAGAAGUGAAUACAUUUGGUCAGAGCUUGAGAGUGUAGUGGAUGUUUAACACUCUUAACACACUCUUCUUUAACACUCUCAUCUUUCUGGCUUGUUGGCUCCAGAGAAAACACUGGUUGCAAUUAGCUGGGACUGAAGAUGAUUAGAAGCUGGAACAGACCUAUUUCUGUAUAUGAAAUACUCUGUCUUGUAUGAUUCCAUGUGAUAAAUCUGACCUGUUAUUUAUUUGUUAGUUUUACGAUAUUGUUGUAACGACUAUAAUCUUUAAUAAUCUGUUAUACUGUUAGUUCUGCACCUUUCACUGCAGCAGCAACGAUACAGUUUCCCCACAGGGAACAUAAAGGUUUCAUUAAAUGACACAUUGUGCUCUGUGAAACUGCUGACUACCAGCAGCACUUAGAGAGAGGGACUCAGAACUGAGUCAGCCCAGUGAUGCUGAUGAGACAGGUCUAAGAGGAGGUAGCAGGGAAAACACAGCUACAGGUGACCACACUGGCACUGCACAGCAAGUUACCAUAGGGAAGGGAAGUUACUAAGACAGAAAGUUUCAAACCCAGUGUCAUUUAGCCUCUUCCUACACAUUCUUACUUUACUGUGAAAAUUAAUUAAAGGUAAAAAAGUAAGGAUUUUCAUACCUUGAUUUUUUUUAACAACCUUCAUAUAUUUUAUUUAAUCUCAGUUCAAGUUUCAUGCAUA
This is a long non-coding RNA of Seriola aureovittata, 3337 nucleotides long. RefSeq lists it as uncharacterized. Lineage: Eukaryota; Metazoa; Chordata; Actinopteri; Carangiformes; Carangidae. The record is from RefSeq and is a predicted model, not a curated record. The transcript is spliced from 4 exons.